UAGAACCAGAAAUCUUGCAUUCUAGCCCUGCC
This 32-nucleotide non-coding RNA is filed under the name Mus musculus (house mouse). Lineage: Eukaryota; Metazoa; Chordata; Mammalia; Rodentia; Muridae. The record is from RNAcentral.